Molecule: ribosomal RNA, 460 nt
Filed under: uncultured bacterium
Lineage: Bacteria
Description: partial 16S ribosomal RNA
Rfam family: Bacterial small subunit ribosomal RNA
Source: RNAcentral
CCUACGGGGGGCAGCAGUGAGGAAUAUUGGUCAAUGGACGAGAGUCUGAACCAGCCAAGUAGCGUGAAGGAUGACUGCCCUAUGGGUUGUAAACUUCUUUUAUAUGGGAAUAAAACAGGGUAUGCAUACCCUUUUGUAUGUAUCAUAUGAAUAAGGAUCGGCUAACUCCGUGCCAGCAGCCGCGGUAAUACGGAGGAUCCGAGCGUUAUCCGGAUUUAUUGGGUUUAAAGGGAGCGUAGGUGGAUGGUUAAGUCAGUUGUGAAAGUUUGCGGCUCAACUGUAAAAUUGCAGUUGAGACUGGCAGUCUAGAGAGCAGUAGAGGUAGGCGGAAUGCGUGGUGUAGCGGUGAAAUGCUUAGAUAUCACGAAGAACUCCGAUUGCGAAGGCAGCUCACUGGGCUGCAACUGACACUGAUGCUCGAAAGUGUGGGUAUCAAACAGGAUUAGAUACCCUAGUAGUC